This is an RNA transcript of Bombus huntii, 1334 nucleotides long. It is a transcript of the gene named venom serine protease Bi-VSP-like, with no coding region annotated. Lineage: Eukaryota; Metazoa; Arthropoda; Insecta; Hymenoptera; Apidae. The transcript has 3 exons. The record is from RefSeq and is a predicted model, not a curated record.
GAGUGGAGAAACAGAAACAUAUGAGCUUAACACCGUAAUACUCUUAUCAUAGAAAUAGAAGCAGUCCUCAAUUCCCGCCCUCUAACUUCUAUCUCCACCGAUCCAAAUGAUCUCCUAGCCCCCACUCCCGGACAUUUCCUCAUUGGCGAUUCAUUAAUGUGCUUACGUGAUCGAGAUUUCAGGGACAUUCCAUCGAACCGACUCUCCAAAUGGCAGCAUAUCCAACAGCUUAAACAACAUUUUUGGAACCGCUGGCAUAAGGAGUAUUUGAACGAGCUAACCAACCGCAAUAAAUGGAGCAAGGGUGGACACAGCAUCCAAAAGGGCACAAUCGUCAUCCUCAGAGAGGACAACGUUCCCUCCAUGCAUUGGCCUCUGGGCCGAGUUAUCAAGAUUCAUCCAGGCGCCGAUGGUGUCAUCCGGACAGCUACAGUUCAGACGGCAAAGAGCAUUUUGGAUCGGGGCGUCAAAAGGCUUGUCCCACUGCCAAUUCAACCCGAUCUCGAGAAACCCGAACAACUAGCCACCGAGACGAAAUAAGAUGGGAACUUCAACCACACCUCCCUAGUUUGAUCGGUACCCUCUCAACGGGGGGAGAAUGUUACGCCAUGCGGCUUACCAUAGGUCAUAUUCUUAACUAUCGAUCGCGGCACUAUAAUGUCGCAGAUGGAUCGUCGUGUCUGCCCGGCAAACAAACAUUGUAGUGGCAAGCGCAUGGUUCAUUAAGCAGGGCGACUUCCAGAAACGUCGACUCGUGGCCCGUAUUUUACCUCGCGUAAAAGAAUGUGGCGUGAUCCGAACGUAGUGGGGGUCGCCUUCCAGAAAAAACGAAAAAAAUCGAAAGGCGUUCAGAACUUUUCGAGAUGUCGAACCGUCAACACAUGUGGAAGAGUAUCUUUUUGCUUGAAAUGAAAAGUUGAUAUAGGAGUAAUAAUAUGGAUAGAGAUCAAAAACUGUUAGGGCAGAAAUUACACGUUUGAACUUUAUAGUUCAGUAUAGUUCAAAUAGAAAUUAUAUAGAAUUAUUUAAUAAUUUGUAUUCCACUGGAAUAAAAAUUUAAUUUCUGUCUUUAUCAAAUCUCUAUUUCAGAGUAUUUGUACGUAUGUACUUAUCGUCUGCUGUAUGAUCGAAUAUCGAAUAGGCGCUUGGCCAUGGAUCGCUGCAUUAGGUUUUCGUAAUCCCCGAAACCCAGACAAACCACUAUGGAAGUGCGGAGGUUCCCUGAUAUCGGCUAGGCAUGUUUUGACCGCAGCACAUUGUGCACAUAUGGAUGGAAUAGAAAACAUACACAAUCAUAAUAUUGCCAUUCUUAGAUUGGUGGAGGAGGUGCCAUU